GGGGAUGUAGCUCAGUGGUAGAGUGCUUGCCAUGCAUGUAGAAGGCCCUGGGUUCUAUCCCCAGCACCACAA
Ictidomys tridecemlineatus (thirteen-lined ground squirrel) is the source of this 72-nucleotide non-coding RNA. The record is from Rfam. Lineage: Eukaryota; Metazoa; Chordata; Mammalia; Rodentia; Sciuridae.